Molecule: ribosomal RNA, 502 nt
Filed under: uncultured bacterium
Lineage: Bacteria
Description: bacterial SSU rRNA
Rfam family: Bacterial small subunit ribosomal RNA
Source: RNAcentral
AGAGUUUGAUCCUGGCUCAGAUUGAACGCUGGCGGCAUGCCUUACACAUGCAAGUCGAACGGUAACGGGCCUUCGGGCGCCGACGAGUGGCGAACGGGUGAGUAAUGCAUCGGAACGUACCUUUCAGUGGGGGAUAACGUAGCGAAAGUUACGCUAAUACCGUAUAUUCUGUGAGCAGGAAAGCAGGGGAUCGCAAGACCUUGCGCUGAUUGAGCGGCCGAUGUCAGAUUAGCUAGUUGGUGAGGUAAAGGCUCACCAAGGCGACGAUCUGUAGCGGGUCUGAGAGGAUGAUCCGCCACACUGGAACUGAGACACGGUCCAGACUCCUACGGGAGGCAGCAGUGGGGAAUUUUGGACAAUGGGGGCAACCCUGAUCCAGCCAUGCCGCGUGAGUGAAGAAGGCCUUCGGGUUGUAAAGCUCUUUCGGCCGGGAAGAAAUCGUAUGGGCUAAUACCCUGUGCGGAUGACGGUACCGGCAUAAGAAGCACCGGCUAACUACGUG